CAAAGAAUUGUGGGAUGAAAAAUGAUUUUUUUAUUUAUUGAUACGAGAAUUUAAUGUUAAUAUAUAUCCAUACAUAUUAAUUAUAUCUAUUUAUUUGUGAUUCUUAUUUUCAUGACUACCUUAAAAUUUAAUAUUUUUUAUGUAAUGGCUACCUUAAAAUUUAAUAUUUUGUAAAGUAAAUUUGGCGUUAAUAUUCAUAUAUGCUUUAAAAUUGUGGCUAUUUUUUGAACUCCGCUAUUUGAGCUUAACGUCCGCUGUAACACCCACUAUCCACGAUCUACUGCACUGUUCUAAUCCACUACCAUACUAUUUAGCAGAGCACCGAGCCCGUAGGCAGGACGACUGCAACCACCGCACGGAGGGAGGAGGAUUCAAGCUGGAUGGAGUACCACCCACCUGCCAACGAAACUCAACACCAGGGCCCCGGGUUUAUUAUUUACAGCGUCGUCCCUGCAGAUCUGCAGGCAAUGCAUUCAGCUCUCUUGCCGAUUCGGAAAAAAAAAGGACAUCUCCUUUUUGCUCAUUUGAAAGAGAGGUUCCCCAUCAACCUCUAUGAAUUGAUGUAUGGUCCUUGCACACGAGUUUGAGAACAGUGAUUAGUAUCAAGCAGGAUCGUGUGAACUCUUCACCAUCUCACCUUCGAAAAUCUGCAGUUGGUCGUCCAUAUACUCACUCUACUAGUAAAUAAAUGACAUUUUUUAGGUUGCCUUAAGCCAGCCAUUUUGAAUUUGUCGCAUACUACAUUAUGUGCAUUGAAUUUAUUGGAUAUUUCAGAUUAAUGAUACGAGUAAAUUUGUUGUCCUGAGAUGUAAUUUUGUAAAAUAUGUUUUUUAUUCUUUACUAGGAAUAUGCAUGUGCGUUGCUAUUAGCUACACUUGGUAUAUUGUUGGCGCGGCCACCACCACCUUGUCGAUGGCUUUUACCACACCAUCUUGCAGACACCCUAGCGCGGAGGUCGUCAGCGAGGGGGCGGCAAAGGAGGUAAUCUUAUUGGAUGUGACAAGGAGACUACGAGCAACACGGAGCUUGGCGCCACCACCUUGUCGGUGUCUUUGACCACGUCAUCUUGUAGGCAUCCUAACGAAGCGGAGGUCGUCAGUGAGGAAGGUGACAAAAAGGUAAUCGUAGUGGAUCCGACAAGAAGGCUGCUAGCAACGUAGAGCUCGGGCGUGUUGUGGCGGAGCUGAUAUGGGUGACACGGAGAUGCGGCGCGUGAUUGACUAACUCACUUGCGCAACAACACGGAGUGACGCAUGCGGCGGCGUAUCUUACCCACACGAUCACAAGAUGCGGCGCACGCCGGUGUAGCUUACCUGCAUGGUGACGAGCUACAGAGCAUCUAGUCAUACAAUUGAGUUAGCUCACCAUCUCACCUUCGAAAAUGUACAAUUGAUCAUCCAUAAUCUCACUCUAGUCGUAUAUAAAUAACAUUUUUAGUUUGCCUUAAGCCAACCAUUUUGAAUUUGUGGCAUGCUACUUUAUGUGCAUUGGGUUCAUUGGAUAUUUAGGAUUCAUGAUAUCAUUAAAUUUGUCAUAAAUAUAAUUUUGUAAAAAUAGGAUUUUUUUAUACUUUACAAAAACUUCACAAUAGAAGUUAUUAGUCAAAUUUUGUGUUGUAGACCGUGCCCAUAUCGAAAACAUCAUUUAUUUGUGAUAGGAUGGGCAAGAGUAUUUAUCAAGUCCUAAGAUCAAUAAUUACAUCUAGACAGCAAAUCUGCCCUGUUUAUUUGAGCUUCUAGUAGCUUCUCGGCUUGAAAAGUCAGAAUCUCAAAUAAACAGCGCAUUUCUCGUGCAGCUUUCGAAAAGCUAGAAGCUCAAAAAAGCUGAGUUUAUAUGAAAUGCUAGAAAGCUCGAUUUUAUAAGCCUUUUGUAGCUUUUUGAGCUCAAAAAGCUCAACACAUAUUCUAAAAGCUAUUGUUGGCUUUUUUGAAAAAAAAAGGCAAUAGCAGUUUUUCAUAAAAAUUCAAAAGCUGCAGCUUAUAUUAUUUUUCACGAACGUGCCCGUACACGCAUGCUAAUUAGUAUAUGCUAGCUGUAUUAAGCCUUGUUUCCAUCCUUCUGAAAAAACAAUAGGUGCCCAUUUUAAAAUCGGUUGUCGUAUUUAAGGAAUCUAAGAUCCAAAAAAAUCUAUGGGCACAAACCUUUUAUCCGGAAAAAUUUCAGUGACACUACACGCAUGUACAUUACAGUGCCACUCGGACCCUCUAGUCCAAUAAAACAGUCGGAUCAUGUUUUAAGCGAAAAAUUGUGUGCACAAAAAUAAUAAAAAAACACCACGCGGAGACACUUUUUUUUAAUUGACCACAGUGCGCGUUGUCCAUAUACUCACUCUACUAGUAAAUAAAUGACAUUUUUUAGGUUGCCUUAAGCCAGCCAUUUUGAAUUUGUCGCAUA
RNAcentral lists this long non-coding RNA (2394 nucleotides) under Setaria italica (foxtail millet). RNAcentral describes it as "long non-coding RNA (SITA_LNC004916)". The record is from RNAcentral. Lineage: Eukaryota; Viridiplantae; Streptophyta; Magnoliopsida; Poales; Poaceae.